RNAcentral lists this ribosomal RNA (460 nucleotides) under uncultured bacterium. RNAcentral describes it as "partial 16S ribosomal RNA". It matches the Rfam family "Bacterial small subunit ribosomal RNA", at positions 338 to 795 of the family's 1533-position model. The record is from RNAcentral.
CCUACGGGUGGCAGCAGUGAGGAAUAUUGGUCAAUGGGCUUACGCCUGAACCAGCCAAGUCGCGUGAGGGAAGACUGCCCUAUGGGUUGUAAACCUCUUUUGUCAGGGAGCAAUUGGCGCUACGUGUAUCGUUCUCGAUAGUCCCUGAAGAAAAAGCAUCGGCUAACUCCUUGCCAGCAGCCGCGGUAAUACGGAGGAUGCGAGCGUUCUCCGGAUUUAUUGGGUUUAAAGGGUGCGUAGGCGGCAUGCCAAGUCAGCGGUAAAAGCGCGGGGCUCAACCUCGCUCCGCCGUUGAAACUGGCGGUCUUGAGUGGGCGAGAAGUAUGCGGAAUGCGUGGUGUAGCGGUGAAAUGCAUAGAUAGCACGCAGAACUCCGAUUGCGAAGGCAGCAUACCGGCGCCCAACUGACGCUGAAGCACGAAAGCGUGGGUAUCGAACAGGAUUAGAUACCCGUGUAGUC